Molecule: long non-coding RNA, 374 nt
Organism: Coregonus clupeaformis (lake whitefish)
Lineage: Eukaryota; Metazoa; Chordata; Actinopteri; Salmoniformes; Salmonidae
Exons: 3
Source: RefSeq, a predicted model, not a curated record
CUGGAGAUGAUCCGUACAGAGUUCAGGACUGCUCUGAACCAAGUUAUGGAGGCCAUAGAGGCCCGGCAGCCAAAGGAGUCAGAGUCCUUGGGGCAACUUGAAAUGCUGCAAAACCCUACAGAAACAAAUGAGGAACUAAAGGAUAUCUGUGAAACACUUAAAGACUCCCACUAUCGAAGGGAAAUGAUUCGAUACCUGACCCUCUGCUGUGGCCUGGACCUGGGCUCAGGAAUCAGACGAAUGAUGAGAAAAAUUAGAACAGAGGAGCUGUGGACAGGCUACUCCUUGAAGGGCAGGAAGGGGAAGAGGGCCUUUAAUGAGCUAUCAAUCUAUGAUGCUGUCACAAGAGCGUCCCUGAAAGCACACCCCAAGGC